Photinus pyralis (common eastern firefly) is the source of this 1421-nucleotide long non-coding RNA. RefSeq lists it as uncharacterized. The record is from RefSeq and is a predicted model, not a curated record. The transcript is spliced from 4 exons. NCBI's taxonomy places the organism in Eukaryota, Metazoa, Arthropoda, Insecta, Coleoptera, Lampyridae.
UUUCUUCAUCGGCUGUGCAUGAGCAUACUGGCAGUCGUAACAAUCCUCUUCAAGCUCUUGGCAUAAUUUACCUAAAUCUGGAGAGGUCGUGGGGACUUUUUUGAGCGUCAGCCUGGAAAAUGUCCAACUAUAUUCCAAAAGGUUUAGUAAUUAUAUAAAUGUUCGAGUUUGGAUGAAAAUUGGUCUAAUUGUUAUGACAGCGAGACAGACAGAAACAGCGACUGGUGCCAACGUUGCCUCCACAACUGGCGCGGGUGUACGAGGUAAGGGGUUGACAGCUACUGGCAAGAAAAAUAGACGCGCUCUCUUCGCUCUAGCGCUGCACUGGCACGAAAAAGCAUUUACAUUCAUUGUCCGGACUGUCACGCUAUUAAAACAGACAUUGAAAAAUUCAUAUCUCUUAAACCGUUCAAGGCAAGUAAGUGCUCUUUUUUACAAUCGAAUCUAAAGUACUCCCUCCAUCCUACUGCUCACCCAUAGCGUCGGACCACAAUACCUAUUCGCUCAGAGCGUAGGUGCCCCAGGUGCUACUGUUCACCCAUAGGGUAGGAUCGCCCGUAUUCGUGUUACAGCUGUAAGUACGCAUCAAAUCUUAAGUGCAAUGAAAUCAUAAUAAAAUGGCAUAUUUAAAAAAAAUAGACAAUGGUAUGGUAUGUUUCUGUUUAAGAAAAACGAAGAUGGCGCCAAUUUUUGAAAAUAUUUUAUUUCAGUUCGCAAAAGUGGAUUAUGGUCGUGAACUAAAUUUCAAGUUUCUAUUUCAACUGCUAAUUUAAAAACUUCUAACGAAUGGGCAACAUGAAUUAAAUGUUCGUGCCCAUCAACCACUCUGAUGUGGUGUUUUAGCAAGUAAAACCUUAUUUUCAAUGCAUUUGGUUCUAGUGGUGUACUAACCUAUUUUGGUAUGGGGGUUGGAUAAAUAUGCGCCUUUUCUUGAUGGUGCCGUAGUGAAAAAUCUGACGAAAGGAAUUGGUUUCUAUCCAAUCAGAGGAGGGUACUCACACAGGGAGAAUAGAAGGUUUGGAUGACACGUAGGUCCUGGAAUCAAAACUUCAAUUGCAAAUAUUUCGAUAUGGAUUUUUCAUCUAAGCAUAGAGAAGUAGCUUUACCAAUAAGAAAGUACUGUGCGCUGCACAUAUAAGAAUACAAUUAUUAUCAAAAGAAUUGAAUAUCGAAAAGGUAUCAUAACUUUGCCCAGGGUUAAGAGGACUUGAUCCACACAUGUACACCAUUUGUGCAAACACAUUAUAUCAACAAAAAUUCGCAACGUGGGCUGCUCACACACAGUCUCUGAAAGGAAAUAUGCAGAAAUGAAAUGGAAUUGGGCACAAGUGAAUGCAAUAAAAAAUUAUUUUCUUCGAUUAUUGUGAAGGGACCAAACGGUACUCACUUGAAGAUCUACUGGAAGCAAUUGAUAUUGAAAA